UGCCAGCAGCCGCGGUAAUACGGAGGGUGCAAGCGUUGUUCGGAAUUAUUGGGCGUAAAGCGCGUGCAGGCGGUUCGUUAAGUCUGACGUGAAAUCUCCCGGCCCAACCGGGGAACUGCGUUCUAAACUGUCAGGCUUGAGUGAGAUAGGGGUGUGCGGAACUUCUAGUGGAGCGGUGAAAUGUGUUGAUAUUAGAAGGAACACCAGUAGCGAAGGCGGCACACUGGGUCUCAACUGACGCUCAUGCACGAAAGCUAGGGUAGCGAACGGGAUUAGAUA
Molecule: ribosomal RNA, 279 nt
Filed under: uncultured bacterium
Lineage: Bacteria
Description: partial 16S ribosomal RNA
Rfam family: Bacterial small subunit ribosomal RNA
Source: RNAcentral